This 465-nucleotide ribosomal RNA is filed under the name uncultured bacterium. RNAcentral describes it as "bacterial SSU rRNA". It matches the Rfam family "Bacterial small subunit ribosomal RNA", at positions 338 to 795 of the family's 1533-position model. The record is from RNAcentral.
CCUACGGGCGGCACCAGUGGGGAAUAUUGCACAAUGGGCGCAAGCCUGAUGCAGCCAUGCCGCGUGUAUGAAGAAGGCCUUCGGGUUGUAAAGUACUUUCAGCGGGGAGGAAGGUGUUGUGGUUAGUAACCACAGCAAUUGACGUUACCCGCAGAAGAAGCACCGGCUAACUCCGUGCCAGCAGCCGCGGUAAUACGGAGGGUGCAAGCGUUAAUCGGAAUUACUGGGCGUAAAGCGCACGCAGGCGGUCUGUCAAGUCGGAUGUGAAAUCCCCGGGCUCAACCUGGGAACUGCAUUCGAAACUGGCAGGCUAGAGUCUUGUAGAGGGGGGUAGAAUUCCAGGUGUAGCGGUGAAAUGCGUAGGGAUCUGGAGGAAUACCGGUGGCGAAGGCGGCCCCCUGGACAAAGACCGACGCUCAGGUGCGAAAGCGUGGGGAGCAAACAGGAUUAGAUACCCGGGUAGUC